Molecule: ribosomal RNA, 897 nt
Filed under: Asperisporium caricae
Lineage: Eukaryota; Fungi; Ascomycota; Dothideomycetes; Mycosphaerellales; Mycosphaerellaceae
Description: LSU rRNA
Rfam family: Eukaryotic large subunit ribosomal RNA
Source: RNAcentral
GCAUAUCAAUAAGCGGAGGAAAAGAAACCAACAGGGAUUGCCCCAGUAACGGCGAGUGAAGCGGCAACAGCUCAAAUUUGAAAUCUGGCGCAAGCCCGAGUUGUAAUUUGUAGAGGAUGCUUCUGGCCAGCGGCCGUUCUAAGUUCCUUGGAACAGGACGUCAUAGAGGGUGAGAAUCCCGUAUGUGACCGGCGCGCAGCCUUUACGUAGCUCCUUCGACGAGUCGAGUUGUUUGGGAAUGCAGCUCUAAAUGGGAGGUAAAUUUCUUCUAAAGCUAAAUACCGGCCAGAGACCGAUAGCGCACAAGUAGAGUGAUCGAAAGAUGAAAAGCACUUUGGAAAGAGAGUUAAAAAGCACGUGAAAUUGUUGAAAGGGAAGCGCUUGCAACCAGACUUUGUAGCGAUGUUCCGCUGGUCUUCUGACCGGUCUACUCAUCGUCGCGAGGCCAACAUCGUCUGGGCCCGCCGGAUAAGACCUAAGGAAUGUGGCUUCCCUUCGGGGAAGUGUUAUAGCCUGUGGUGAUACAGCGUGGCUCGGGCGAGGUCCGCGCUUCGGCAAGGAUGUUGGCGUAAUGGUUGUCAGCGGCCCGUCUUGAAACACGGACCAAGGAGUCUAACAUCUAUGCGAGUGUUCGGGUGUCAAACCCCUACGCGUAAUGAAAGUGAACGGAGGUGGGAAGCGCAAGCUGCACCAUCGACCGAUCCUGAUGUCCUCGGAUGGAUUUGAGUAAGAGCAUAGCUGUUGGGACCCGAAAGAUGGUGAACUAUGCCUGAAUAGGGUGAAGCCAGAGGAAACUCUGGUGGAGGCUCGCAGCGGUUCUGACGUGCAAAUCGAUCGUCAAAUUUGGGUAUAGGGGCGAAAGACUAAUCGAACCAUCUAGUAGCUGGUUCCUGCCGA